GCUUGGCCCUAAACCUCAAUAGUUAAAAUAACAAAACUAUUCGCCAGAAUACUACAAGCAACAGCUUAAAACUCAAAGGACUUGGCGGUGCUUCAUACCCCCUAGAGGAGCCUGUUCUGUAAUCGAUAAACCCCGAUCCACCCCACCCUCUCUUGCUUAGUCUAUAUACCGCCAUCUUCAGCAAACCCUGAUGAAGGCUACGAAGUGAGCGCAAAUGCCCUUCCCCGCAAAAACGUUAGGUCAAGGUGUAACCUAUGAGACGGUAAAAAUGGGCUACAUUUUCUACUUCAGAAAACCCCACGAUAGCUCUUAUGAAAUCUAGGAGCCCAAGGAGGAUUUAGCAGUAAAUUAAGAAUAGAGUGCUUAAUUGAACUAGGCCAUAAAGCACGC
This 390-nucleotide ribosomal RNA is filed under the name Papio anubis (olive baboon). RNAcentral describes it as "partial 12S ribosomal RNA". It matches the Rfam family "Bacterial small subunit ribosomal RNA", at positions 794 to 1384 of the family's 1533-position model. The record is from RNAcentral. Lineage: Eukaryota; Metazoa; Chordata; Mammalia; Primates; Cercopithecidae.